RNAcentral lists this long non-coding RNA (309 nucleotides) under Bos taurus (domestic cattle). Its description in RNAcentral is "long non-coding RNA NONBTAT019369". Lineage: Eukaryota; Metazoa; Chordata; Mammalia; Artiodactyla; Bovidae. The record is from RNAcentral.
CCCGGCUUUGCUGCCACUUAAACUGGUUGAAAUACGCUCUCACUUAUUUCCGAGUUGCUGGAAUGACUGAAGAAAUAAUGUAAGAAAUAACAGUUAUCCAUAGCGGCUUUGAUCAUGGCCACAAUUUUCCUACAUAGUAAUCAUUUUUAUCUCUUCUUUUUAAUCAUCUGAUGAUCAAAUAAUUUAAAUAGAAGUUGAAUGAUUUACAUUCUGUGUUUUUCCUGCUAAAGUUCCCUUUCUGAUUACUCACAACUUUCAUCUCUCUCUUCAUUUCAAGGGAUUUCCUUUUUUCACAAGUGGCUUUUCCUG